This 112-nucleotide non-coding RNA is filed under the name Bacillus sp. (in: firmicutes). Its description in RNAcentral is "Bacillus sp. SAM-I sequence". It matches the Rfam family "SAM riboswitch aptamer (S box leader)". Rfam says of the family: The SAM riboswitch is found upstream of a number of genes which code for proteins involved in methionine or cysteine biosynthesis in Gram-positive bacteria. The SAM riboswitch acts at the level of transcription termination control. The predicted structure consists of a complex stem-loop region followed by a single stem loop terminator region. Lineage: Bacteria; Bacillati; Bacillota; Bacilli; Caryophanales; Bacillaceae. RNAcentral also lists the same sequence under 1 other name. The record is from RNAcentral.
CUCUUAUCGAGAGAGGUGGAGGGAUGUGCCCUAUGAAACCCGGCAACCGGCAAGGAUUUCCUUGAAAAGGUGCCAAUUCACAAAAAGCUGAUAAAGCUUUUAGAGAUGAGAG